CCAUGGCGCCUGUUUAUCAAAAACAUGGUUUUUUGAUAGAAUAAAAAAUCUGGCCUGCUCAAUGCUUAGGUAAAUAGCCGCAGUAUUAUGACUGUGCUAAGGUAGCAUAAUCAUUUGUCUUUUUAAUGGAGUCUAGAAUGAAAGGUUAGACGAAGAGAAAGCUGUCUCUUUAUUAAAAAAUGAAUUUUAUUAUUUAGUAAAAAGGCUAAUAUGAGUCUGAGGGACGAUAAGACCCUAUUAAACUUAAUUUUGUAAUUUUGCUGGGGUGGUAAAAUAAGAUUGAAAUCUUAUUGGGAAAGUUUUAAAUUUAUUGACCCAAUAUUAUUGAGGGCGAGAUAAAGUUACUAUAGGGAUAACAGCUUAAUUUUUUCUUGAAGUUCUUAUUUUAGAAAAAGUUUGAGACCUCGAUGUUGAAUUAAAGUAUCUUUUUAGUGCAGAAGCUAAAUUAAGAAAGUCUGUUCGACUUUUAAAUCUUUACGUGAUCUGAGUUCAGACCGGCCAUGGGAAG
This 508-nucleotide ribosomal RNA is filed under the name Vinathela tomokunii. RNAcentral's name for it is "partial 16S ribosomal RNA". It matches the Rfam family "Bacterial large subunit ribosomal RNA", at positions 1792 to 2625 of the family's 2925-position model. Lineage: Eukaryota; Metazoa; Arthropoda; Arachnida; Araneae; Liphistiidae. The record is from RNAcentral.